Long non-coding RNA from Oryzias melastigma (Indian medaka), 886 nucleotides. RefSeq lists it as uncharacterized. Lineage: Eukaryota; Metazoa; Chordata; Actinopteri; Beloniformes; Adrianichthyidae. The record is from RefSeq and is a predicted model, not a curated record. The transcript has 3 exons.
GUGACGUCUCCCGCGCAUGCGUGGUACCGGUCUCGCUUCCGGGUACUGGAAGAGCUAAACUCUUUGCGAAUGUUUUUUCAGCAUUAAAAACGGACAGAUUGUCGUGGACAAAUGGACUCCUGGAAAUUUACGAGACUUUAGUAACUACGCGAAGAGGAGUCUGACUGUAUGACGGUGAUGACGAGGAAAAAAUGGAAGUUGGAGUUGUCCUGUUGAGCACACACACCGGUUGAUCUGGAGGGACACCAAGAACCAUGAUUACCUGGAUCUGGCAACAUUCAGUCCUGCUGAUGCCCUGCUGUACGAUGACGCUCUCUCUGAAGAAGACACCCCACUAGUGGACUGUAAUAACGCCCCUCUCCCUCGAAUCCUCCCCUCCUCAUGGAUUGAAAACGAGCUCUGUGGUAGAAUCUCCCAUGCAUUUCCUGGAUUUUAGAAACAAGACACACAACACAAGCUCUCUUUUUGACAAGCUGUGAUUGGCUUUCCGUAGCCUAGUGUGUGUGACUGUGAUCUAGGCAUGCCGUUUGUGGUUUAAUGCUGACAUAUCUCCCAUUUCAUGGUAAAUGAGAGACACAGUGAAAAAGGGGGUUGUGUUUUGACUUCUUUUGUAUAUUUGGACAUGCUUCAAAUGUACAUGAAGCUGUACUAAUAUAAUAGUAUACUAAUAUUGUAUAAUACUUUAUACAAUAAAGUAUGUAGAAUUGUUUUCUCUAGUUAUCAGCUUAUAUCUGCAGAGGAACUUUACCAGUGUUUAUCAAUCGCAAGAUUUGCAGCAAUUUUGUUUUAAUUGGCGAAACAUAAGUUCUAUAAACAGUGUAUGUUGUAGAAUAGAGCAAUGCUUUCCAUAAUUAAAUACAAAGGCUUUAUGCUCCUGUUGUUGAAA